CAGCCGCCGCGGUAAUACGUAGGGUGCGAGCGUUAAUCGGAUUUACUGGGCGUAAAGCGUGCGCAGGCGGCCCGUUAAGACAGGUGUGAAAUCCCUGGGCUCAACCUAGGAAUUGCGCUUGUGACUGGCGGGCUCGAGUACGGUAGAGGGGGGUGGAAUUCCUGGUGUAGCAGUGAAAUGCGUAGAGAUCAGGAGGAACACCGAUGGCGAAGGCAGCCCCCUGGGCCUGUACUGACGCUCAUGCACGAAAGCGUGGGGAGCAAACAGGAUUAGAUACCCUGGUAUUCCACGCCCUAAACGAUGGGUACUAGCCGUUUGGUGCGCGAUAGCGCUGAGUGGCGAAGCUAACGCGUGAAGUACCCCGCCUGGGGAGUACGGCCGCAAGGUUGAAACUUAAAGGAAUUGGCGGG
RNAcentral lists this ribosomal RNA (410 nucleotides) under uncultured microorganism. Its description in RNAcentral is "bacterial SSU rRNA". It matches the Rfam family "Bacterial small subunit ribosomal RNA", at positions 509 to 917 of the family's 1533-position model. The record is from RNAcentral.